RNA transcript from Sapajus apella (tufted capuchin), 8983 nucleotides. It is a transcript of the gene named podocan, with no coding region annotated. The record is from RefSeq and is a predicted model, not a curated record. The transcript is spliced from 11 exons. NCBI's taxonomy places the organism in Eukaryota, Metazoa, Chordata, Mammalia, Primates, Cebidae.
CCACUGCACUCCAGCCUGGGUGACAGAGUGAGACCCUGUUUCAAAAUAAAUAAAAAGUUGCAUAGUGGGUUAUUUGUGCAUUAAAAGCAUAAGUCUUGUUGCUGUACUUUUUCAGAUGAAUUCACAAUCUCACAUUUCUACAAUUUUUGUUGGAUGUGUAGAGGAAAAAUAAGGGAAAGCAUGGCUAGCAUGUCAAGUCCAUGUAGAGGUGGGGGUAUGACAAAAGAGUCACUUUGUCAUAGAAAAAAAUAAGCAAGAGAAAUUUCAGAUUGAAUACCAUUAAAUUUCCAGACAAUAAAAAUUGGUCAUGAGUGGACUAGAGGCUCCAACCACAGAGAUAUUUCUAGACCCAGCUGGCAAAAACAGGGCAUUUCACUGUGGUAGAUGUACCUUAAUAGUGGCUGAAAGAUACCUGAACAGGUGAAAGUGGUAUUUCAUUGCAGCCACUCUGAGGAUUUCUCCUUUCACAAUUGAUCAAAUCUUUUUUUUUUCUAUAAGCUACAAAGAGGACUUGAGGUCUUUUUGCUUACUUGUUUAUACCCUGACUGAGUAGAUGCUGCCUACCAUUAUUUGAGGAAUUUUUUUAACAUGAAGAAAUUUAUUCAUUGGAACAUUUUGUGAUAAUCUUUUGAGUUCACAUAAUCAGCUGGCUUCAGAAUGAGGAUAAUUUGCUUUUAUUAACUGUUUACAUCCUUAUGUUUUCCUCAAGAACCAUUAAAAUUUAAUGAUCUCUAUACUUAAGUGAAUGGAUAUAGAAUUAUUUAGUUUGACUUUCAGAAGGUUUGCAUUUUAGCCAAAGAUUAAAUUCUAGCUGCCCAUGCCAUGAUUGCUUUUUGAACACAGAGAAGUUACUUGAUGUUAUUGACUAGAAAAAAAAAAAAAUGAUACAGCCAGAUUGUACCUCUGGGCAAAUUACCCUGUGGGAUUCAGUUUGUUUAGAGACCACACUGAUAGGAAUGAGGAAUGCUGGGUAUGGUACUAACAUCUAAUGAGGGGCCUGAAAGAUUUAUGAGCUAUUAGGAGCUAUAGCCGCAUCUGGCCAAAUUUUAGAGUUUUUCUCAAUAGAGAGUUACAAAAUCUUCUGGAACAGUCCAGUAUCAUAUCUAUCUGGAGACUGCUGCAAACAAAUAGCUCUUUAGUUCUUGGUAAGAGCAAAGAAUAUUGGGCCAUAUUUCUGGCCCUUAAGAAAUGUGGAGUCUGAUUCCAUUUGGCUGGAAGUUUAAUUUGGUAUGGAAUUUUAGCCAGACUUCUAGGGGAAAUAAUUUUUCAAAAAUAUAACCAAAACUUAUUGCAAAAAGUGAUGUGCAUUUGGUCUAUCUGUUCUAUUAAAGGUCAUUUAAACACUUUGUAAAUAUUCACAGUACUGUUUCCAGCAGCAUGUAGUACUUGCUUGAUCUUUUUGUUUCUGAAUUUGUGGCCAUGAACCUUUAUGUAGAAUUGGGGGAAACUGAUUGUAGUCUGCUGUUUAUUUAAAUUGCAGGUAGUUGUCUAACCAACUACCAGUGAUGUUUUUUCCUUUCUCUGGAAGUUAUUGUAUAAUUCGCCUUUUGGAAUAUGGCACCUUCUGUUGUGUACAGAGCACUGUACCACUCUAGACACUUCAUUAGAACAGAAAUAGAAAAUAAUUUGAUAUGAAGACACGGUAGUAUAGGAACAAUUGACUUAUGCAGGCUGAAAGAAGCCUUAAGCUUGGCAAAAUGAUACCCCAAAUGCAGGGUGUGAUAUCAGUUCUUGAAUAUUUGAGAGAUGGAAAGACCAAACAGGGAAAGGAAUUAUUUUGCUUAGUUAUUAGAAGUAAGGGGAAGAAAUAUAGAAAGAGAAAUUUCAGACUGAAUACCAUUGAAUUUCCAGACAAUAAAAAUCGGUCAUGAGUGGACUAGAAGCCCCAACCACAGAGAUGUUUCUAGACUCAGCUGGCAAAAACAGGGCAUUUCAUUGUGGGAGAUGUACCUUAACAGUGGCUGAAAGAUCAUCUGAACAGGAGAAAGUGGUAUUUCAUUGACAGCCACUCUUGAGGAUUUCUCCUUUUGCAGUUGAUCAAAGCCUUUUUUCCUUCUAUAUGCUAGAAAGAGGACUUGAGGUCUUUUUGCUUGUUUCUACCCUGACUGAUUCAUAACUUACUUUAGAAGAAACAUGACGUACCUUUGGAAGAAACCAUCUUCCAAAGAAAUGAGUAUUCAAAAGCUUCAAGUUUUUGUAGUAUGAAAGCAGUCUGAGUUUGUUUUUUGUCUUUUUUUUAUCCAUUUUUAUUUAGGUUAAGGUAAUAGCUAGUUGGCUGGCCACAGUGUGGGAGACAACUCUUACCGGAGUUAGAACCUGAAGACUGAGUUUGAAUUCCGACCCAAGCACUCAUUAGCUGAGUCACCUGAGCAGGUUGCAAAUGCUCCCUGAGCAUCCCUUUUCCAAAAUGAGUGGGCAAUAAUACCAUCACGCUUGCUGUGAAGAUCAAGUGAAACUGUGUGUGGGAAAGUGCUGUGCCAGUUUUAGUUAUUAAUGUUUGUACUCAUUUUCUAUUGUUGCUGAAACAAAUGAUCACAAAGUAGGGAUCACAAAUUUAUCAUCCCACAGUUCUGUAACCUAGAAGUCUGGUUGGGUUUGACUGGUUUCUUGGCUCUGGGUCUCACAAGGCUGAAGUCGAGAUGUUUCCACCCUGGUUUCCUAUCUGGAGGCUCCCACGUUUGUUCAGAUCCUGGGAGAAUUCAGUUUCAUGCAGCUUGUAGGACUGAAGUCCCUGUUCCCUUCCUGGCAGCCUAGGGGUGUUUCAUCUUCUGGGGGCUGCCUUAUUCCCUAGCUUAUGACCCCCUUCCUCUUUAAAGUUAGUCAAGUCCUUCUCAUGUUUCAGAUCUCUCUGACCUCUUCUGCUUCAUUUCCCCUCCCUCCAGCUAGAGAAAGUUCUUGGUUUUGUGGGGCUCAUGUGAUUAGAUUAGGCCCACCGAGAUAAUCCAGAAUAAACUCCCUAAUUUGAAGUCCAUAACCUUAAUUACAUCUGCAAAGUGCCUUUCAUCAUGUAACAUAUUCAAAGGUCUUAGGGAUUAAGGUAUGGAUAUCUUUGGUUGAGGGGGGCGGCAUUCUGCCUAUCACAGUGGUAUUUUAGGGUGAGAGGGGGAGCUUACAGAACAUGAGAUUCUUGCCCUGGAGGACUCACAAUCCAGUGGAAGAAGGAGGAAAAACACAAUACAGCAAGAAAUUCUGUAUUAACAAAGAGUCUGUACGAGAUGUUGCAGGAGCCCAGGAGACUCCCUGUGUACUUGACUGGAGACUCCUGUGUACUUGACUUGGAGGUUUUUUUCAUUAUUCUCUUCUUGUUCCCUAAUGAGUCUUGCCUUUCAUCAAGAUCUUUCAGAUGGAAUUCAUAUGCCCCAAACACCACCAUGUGAUUUGAUUCCUUAAAUGUCCAGAAAAUCAAGCUGCUGCUGUAGCUCAGUAUUUGGGACUGUACUGCUUCAUAAGGUCUUCAGCCCACAGCUCAAGCUAGGAGGAAUUAUUUUCUUCUCUGACGAUGAGGUAUAACAAGAGCUUGUUGCUCCUCGGCUCCCGUUUUUCAUCAUCAACCCCCACCGAGAGCCUUAUUGUUCUUUACUCCUAGCUCUGUCUACUGUGUGUAUGUCUUUUCUCCCUCCUCUUCGGAAUGUUCUUGUUUCUUAUUGUUUUGAAUUAGAAGGCACUUGUCCUGGGCAGUGCAGGGGUUUCUGUUUAAUUCUUGCCAUUUGUCAUUUCUAGUUUAAUAAUGUUUCCUGGCUAUUUGGUCAGGUCUGGGUGAUAGUUUUGUAGUAAUAGCUACCAUUUACCGAGCACUUACCAUGUGCCAGGUACUAUGUAAAGUUCUGUACUUGCAUUUUCCAAUUUGGACACACUGUGAGGUGUAGGUACUAUUUUUCUAUUCAUUUGAACCUAGCUAGGAUUUGAACCAAGCUCCAACUUUAAAGCUUGUACUUGACACUAUGUAGUUCAGUAAUAUCAAACAGGAGCUGAAAUGGAGGAGCAGCAUGAAGGAACUGAAGCAGCACAGGUAGAUUCAGGAAACCUCAAUUUCAAACUCUGCCUUUACAAUCCUUCUGAAAGAGGAUUUGCUUCUAGAGCACCAAGAUUGCCUCCAUUUUUCCACCAGAGACACUCAAAGUGAUUCCUCCUGCAGCUGUGCCAACCACAAAGCACAUAUGGGCAUUGGCUGAGCAUUCCACAGAAGAGCCUGUUUCUCUGGGAGGUGGUGAGGACUGGGUGUAUGGUGUGCCAUGUGGCUGGCCCCUGAAACACCCUGGCCCUAGCAGUUAUAGGUAGAGAGAGUAUCUUCCCCACAAGGUUAGUAUGAAUAUUUUAAGGAUUUAGGAUGGUGCCUGUCACUUAUUAGGCACUCAAUAUGCUCUGGCUCUCAUUGUCCUAGAAGGGUUUUAGUUCGUGGGUAUUCAAGUUAGCAGAAUCCUGUCCUUUUAGCUCUACUUGAAUCUAGGCUCAAUGUUCAGGAGAAGACAUGAGAUGCAUCUCUGUGUUGGUCCAGGUCCAAUGCUGUGAAUCAUACCAACUCUUGUUAAGUUUGAGCUCUGAAAAGGCUGGAAUUUGAGGCCAAAGAAGGCAAAAUAUUUUCCCCCCCGAUUCUUGCUAAGUUCUUGAGUUAUUGGCAUAAUGGAAACAGAAAGUCCUAGGUUCAAAUCCGGCUCUACAUUUGCCUGUUCAAGUUACCUGCCUGUUUGCACCGUGGGAAGAACUUGGGCUGUGGAGGAGGGUAAACCUGGGUUCAAAAUCCCAGCUUUGCAAAUUAAUGGCCAUUUUACUCAGUCACGUUUCCUUUCUGAGGCUCUUUUCUAUAAAGUGAGGCAGCAGCAGUUCUUCCGUUGCAGAGUUGUGAAGGCAGAGCAUAACGCAUGUGGUAUAACCAGGCUGCCAUGGGGGUGCAGCCAGUGAAAGGUCUGGAGCUGCUUUACAGGGGCCAUUCAUUCAUUCAGGUUUAGGUUGAGCAAGGGGGCCCACCUGUGACUUGUAUCCUUCUCCCUCUCCAGUGGAAGGGCAGCCAGGUGAGGCAACUGUGGGUACCCUGCCCACAGCCAGAGCAGGUAAGGGGAAGAGGACUGCUACACAGUGGAAGUGCCAAGUACCACCUAAGCCCAGCCCCAUUCCUGUUCCACUGCUGAAGCCCCUGGCGCCAGACAGUGUUGCUUCAGCUGGUAGUAGUUAAUGCUCCUUUACUUGGAAACAUUUUCAGCUCCUGGGAGCAAUAUGGUGGCGUGAGGGCUCACUGAUCACCCGCCCUGUUUCUCUGUGACUGGGAUCUGCAUGCCCCCGACUCCGGCCCAAUUUACCAUUCUUCAAGGCUCACCAGCCUGUGGGCCCAGGGCCAACAGGGAUGGGAGUGGAGGGUGGGGUGGAGCGUGGGGAACUUUUCCGGGAAAAGGCCCAGCAGGGUCUUGGCUGGCGGCCCCGUUAGCCACGGCCCAGGACCCCAGGGUGGGGGAGUGAACAGAAAGGUACUCUUGCCUGGAGCGGUUGCAACAUCCUCCGUAAUGAGGAAGAUACAGCUCAGAGGCACUGGGUGGAAGGACCCCUCUUCCUGGCCCUCCUUUCAAGUGUCGGGGCCUAAAGGGGGUCCAGUUCCAGUGCGGAAGGCUGGGAACUAGGAAGCGUCGCGGACCAGACAGCCCGCCUUCCUGGACUCCCGGGUGGGGGUUCGGGGGCGUGGUGCGGCUGCCGGGGCUGAGAGGGGUCGGUGCGGCGGCUCUGCCUCCCGGGAAGUGGGGCCCGGCCAAGUCCUGCGCUGGGAGGGGGCAGGCCCUCUCCUGCCCGCGCCUGGGGGGACACUACGCCUAUGUCCGGAGGAGGCCGGCGUCCAGCAGAUGCUCGCGGGGGGGUGGGAAGUGGGGGAGGGGGCGGGAGAGAGGCGGGGAAGAGAAAACCCACAACAAAACUUGCGUCGCGGAGCGCCCUGCUUGACUUGAAUGGAAGGAGCCCGAGCCCGCCGAGCGCAGCUGAGACUGGGGGAGCGCGUUCGGCCUGCGGGGCGCGGCACGGCGCCGGGGCGCAGCAGGUUCCGUCAGCCCUGGCGCCCAGGUGCAUCUGACUUGGCACCCCCUGCAGGCACUAUGGCCCAGAGCUGGGCGCUGCUACUCCUGCUGCUGCUGCCGCCACAGCUGCACCUGGGACCUGUGCUUGCCGCAAGGGGCCCGGGAUUUGGCCGAAGCGGCAGCCACAGCCUGAGUCCCGAAGAGAACGAAUUUGUGGAGGAGGAGCCGGUGCUGGUCCUGAGCCCUGAGGAGCCCGUGCCUGGCCCAGCUGCGGUCAGUUGCCCUCGAGACUGUGCCUGUUCCCAGGAGGGCGUCGUGGACUGUGGCGGCAUCGACCUGCGUGAGUUCCCCGGGGACCUGCCUGAACACACCAACCACCUGUCCCUGCAGAACAACCAGCUGGAAAAGAUCUACACUGAGGAGCUCUCCCGGCUGCACCGGCUGGAGACGCUGAACCUGCAAAACAACCGCCUGACUUCCCGAGGGCUCCCAGAGAAGGCGUUUGAGCAUCUGACCAACCUCAACUACCUAUACUUGGCCAAUAACAAGCUGACCUUGGCACCCCGCUUCCUGCCAAACGCCCUGAUCAGUGUGGACUUUGCUGCCAACUAUCUCACCAAGAUCUAUGGGCUCACCUUUGGCCAGAAGCCAAACUUGAGGUCUGUGUACCUGCACAACAACAAGCUGGCGGACGCCGGGCUGCCGGACAACAUGUUCAACGGCUCCAGCAAUGUCGAGGUCCUCAUCCUGUCCAGCAACUUCCUGCGCCACGUGCCCAAGCACCUGCCGCCCGCCCUGUACAAGCUGCACCUCAAGAACAACAAGCUGGAGAAGAUCCCCCCGGGGGCCUUCAGUGAGCUGAGCAGCCUGCGCGAGCUGUACCUGCAGAACAACUACCUGACCGACGAGGGCCUGGACAACGAGACCUUCUGGAAGCUCUCGAGCCUGGAGUACCUGGAUCUGUCCAGCAACAACCUGUCUCGGGUCCCGGCAGGGCUGCCACGCAGCCUGGUGCUGCUGCACUUGGAGAAGAACGCCAUCCGGAGCGUGGAUGCGGAUGUGCUGACCCCCAUCCGCAGCCUGGAGUACCUGCUGCUGCACAGCAACCAGCUGCGGGCGCAGGGCAUCCACCCGCUGGCCUUCCAGGGCCUCAAGCGGCUGCACACGGUGCACCUGUACAACAACGCGCUGGAACGCGUGCCCAGCGGCCUGCCUCGCCGCGUGCGCACCCUCAUGAUCCUGCACAACCAGAUCACAGGCAUUGGCCGCGAAGACUUCGCCACCACCUACUUCCUGGAGGAGCUUAACCUCAGCUACAACCGCAUCACCAGCCCGCAGGUGCACCGCGACGCCUUCCGCAAGCUGCGCCUGCUGCGCUCGCUGGACCUGUCGGGCAACCGGCUGCACACGUUGCCACCUGGGCUGCCUCGCAAUGUGCAUGUGCUGAAGGUCAAGCGCAAUGAGCUCGCUGCCCUGGCACGAGGGGCGCUGGCGGGCAUGGCCCAGCUGCGUGAGCUGUACCUCACCAGCAACCGACUGCGCAGCCGGGCCCUGGGCCCCCGCGCCUGGGUGGACCUCGCCGGUCUGCAGGUGGGAGUCCCUGACUCCCUUGGUCGCCCCUGCAGCUGCUGGACAUCGCUGGGAAUCAGCUCACAGAGAUCCCCGAGGGGCUCCCUGAGUCACUUGAGUACCUGUACCUGCAGAACAACAAGAUUAACGCGGUGCCCGCCAAUGCCUUCGACUCCACACCCAACCUCAAGGGGAUCUUUCUGAGGUUUAACAAACUGGCCGUGGGCUCUGUGGUGGACAGCGCCUUCCGGAGGCUGAAGCACCUGCAGGUCUUGGACAUUGAAGGCAACUUUGAGUUUGGUGACGUUUCCAAGGACCGUGGCCGCUUGAGGAAGGAAGAGGAGGAGGAGGAGGAAGAGGAGGAAGAGGAAGAGGAAACAAGAUAGUGACAAGGUGUCGCAGAUCUGACCUAGGAUGAUGGACCGCUGGACUCCUUGCUGCAGCGCACACCUGUGCCCGAGAGCCCCCCACUCUGCUGUGCUCACACAGAUACACCCAGCUGCAAGCAUGGGGCAUCCCACACGACACAGGCCAACACAAUCUCAUAUCCCCACCCCUCCCAGAGCGUGUCCCACGGCCAGACAUGUGCAGACAGCACGUCACACCCUCACACGCCCAGCUCAGCCACACAGCCAGUUACACAUUGCCCUCCAAACCACCAGUCUCUGCCCCACACCCACUACCGCUGCCACGCCCUCUCAAUCAUGCAGGGAAGGGUCUGCCCCUGCCCUGGCACACACAGGCGCCUGCUGCUGACAUGCGUAUGUGUGUGCUACAUACCACACACACACACACACACACACACACACACAGUCAUGUGCAAACAGCCCUCCAAAGCCUGUGCCACGGCCAGCUCUUGCCCCAGCCAGAACAAGCCAUAGCAGCUCACCGUCUGCCCCGUCCACCUGUCCGUCCGUUCCCUGGAGAAGACACAAGGGUAUCUCCAUGCUCUGUGGCCAGGUGCCUGCCACCCUCUGGAACUCACGAAAGCUGGCUUUUUUUCCUUUCCCACUCUUUGGGGACAGGAGCCUUCAGGACUGCUGGCCUGGCCCGGCCCAUGCUGCUCCUGCCCGUGCUGGGCAGUCACUCUGCCAAGAGCCCUCCCCCAGCAACGCCCUGGCAGGACACAGGCACUUUUCCGAUGGGCAAGCCCCAAGGAGGCAGAACGGGGGGUGCCUCUUGGGUGCUGCUGGGGCCUUGGGGCAGGAGUGAAGCGGAGGCGGUGGGGCUGGGCUGAGCCGCAAGGCGGGGGGAAGGGCCCAGCUGCACCCAGGAGACAGCUUUGUUCUUCAGGCCUGUGGGGGAAGUUCCGGGUGCCUUUGUUUUUUAUUCUUUUCUAAGAAAAAAAAUGAUAAAAAUCUCAAAGCUGAUUUUUCUUGUUAUAGAAAAACUAAUAUAAAAGCAUUAUCCCUGUCCCUGCA